Molecule: small RNA, 690 nt
Filed under: Pongo abelii (Sumatran orangutan)
Lineage: Eukaryota; Metazoa; Chordata; Mammalia; Primates; Hominidae
Description: retained intron
Source: RNAcentral
GUCAAAUAGUCCGUGUCGGCAAGAUGGAUCUUAAGGAUACUGGUGCAAAGAAGUGCACACAGGGACUGAGGAGGCCGUUUGGGGUGGCAGUUAUGGAUAUAACAGACAUCAUCAAGGGGAAAGCAGAGAGUGAUGAAGAAAAGCAGCACUUCAUUCCUUUUCACCCGGUUACAGCUGAGAAUGACUUCCUACACAGCCUGCUGGGCAAAGUCAUAGCCUCCAAGGGGGACAGUGGAGGGCAAGGCCUCUGGGUGACCAUGAAGAUGCUGGUGGGUGACAUCAUUCAGAUUCGCAAGGACUAUCCACACCUGGUGGACAGGACCACCGUGGUGGCCAGGAAGCUGGGCUUCCCAGAGAUCAUCAUGCCAGGGGAUGUCAGGAACGACAUCUACAUUACUCUCUUACAAGGUGACUUUGACAAGUACAACAAGACCACACAGAGGAAUGUGGAAGUCAUCAUGUGUGUGUGCGCGGAGGACGGCAAAACGCUGCCUGUAAGGGACUCACUGCUGCUCUGGGUGACAGGGUCCCCCUUGGGGGCCUCUGCUCGUAAAGAUGUACUUUUCCUCUCCCUCAUUCUGUUGUCUAAAUGCCAGGUGCCUUUGGGAUGGUGUUGAAUAAUGUGAUCUACACCUUUUGAGCUUGGUUAGCUCAGUGUUCCAUAAUAAGACCUUGUGAUAUUUCCUUACA